Molecule: ribosomal RNA, 465 nt
Filed under: uncultured bacterium
Lineage: Bacteria
Description: partial 16S ribosomal RNA
Rfam family: Bacterial small subunit ribosomal RNA
Source: RNAcentral
CCUACGGGGGGCAGCAGUAGGGAAUCUUCCACAAUGGGCGAAAGCCUGAUGGAGCAACGCCGCGUGGGUGAAGAAGGUCUUCGGAUCGUAAAACUCUGUUGUUAGAGAAGAAAGUGCGUGAGAGUAACUGUUCACGUUUCGACGGUAUCUAACCAGACAGCCACGGCUAACUACGUACCAGCAGCCGCGGUAAUACGUAGGGGGCAAGCGUUAUCCGGAGUUAUUGGGCGUAAAGGGAACGCAGGCGGUCUUUUAAGUCUGAUGUGAAAGCCUUCGGCUUAACGGGAGUAGUGCAUUUGAAACUGGGAGUCUUGAGUGAAGUAGAGGAGGGUGGAACUCCAUGUGUAGCGGUGAAAUGCGUAGAUAUAUGGAAGAACACCAGUGGCGAAGGCGGCUCUCUGGUCUGUAACUGACGCUGAGGUUCGAAAGCGUGGGUAGCAAACAGGAUUAGAUACCCGAGUAGUC